UGGUAUGAUCAACAGAGCGCAACCUCACUGGGACUUUGCAUGUAUAUGCAAGAAAGUCUCAAGGUUGACAUAAAGGAUCUCCCUAAGCAGAUUGACAUUUCAACAUAAGUAAGUAUCACUGGCUUGCAAUCAUAGAUCCAAGUGGUGAACCGGGUGUACAUUGAACCCACUCAGUGCCGACUUGAAGAUUCUGCUGGGCUUCUUGAACUGGAAACUAUGAGGGCUUGCUUCUCUUAAACACGUGAAGCUGGAGCUGGUGUCACAUCCAUGUGAAGAGGGAUGAUAUGGAUGGGAUGUUGGACUGAGUGUGUGGGCUUGGCAAUAGUGUAUUGAACGAGGCUCCAUGGCCGCCUGAUUGGAGGGGAUGGGUCAUUCCUGGUGGCGCGGAAGGAAUUGCAUGCUCUUGCAGCUGCUGCAUGGAGGACGGAGAUGCUGGGUGGAGAGGAGGGCUAGGCGAUGUUGGUGCCGAUGAGCACCCAUGCCCUGGCCUAGCUGACGACACAAGGUCGGUGAUGUUUUCUAUCUACAUCGAGCAACCUAGUUCUGCCAAAAGGAUAGGUCUGCGUCUUGAGUUGGUUCGCACAAGCACUCCACAGUUUCCACUCACAAGACUCCUUGUGCACAACAAGAUGUUUUACUUUUGCUAGGAACACCCAUGAAGGGGUGCACACCCAUCGAUGUGCCCUUGCUAGCUCACUGCCUCUAUCUAAUCUGCUGCUGCUCCAACCUGCUGGGGAGCUGAUGGCUGCCUCCUUGUCUCCGAA
Long non-coding RNA from Lolium rigidum, 764 nucleotides. RefSeq lists it as uncharacterized. The record is from RefSeq and is a predicted model, not a curated record. The transcript has 4 exons. Lineage: Eukaryota; Viridiplantae; Streptophyta; Magnoliopsida; Poales; Poaceae.